RNAcentral lists this ribosomal RNA (719 nucleotides) under uncultured bacterium. Its description in RNAcentral is "bacterial SSU rRNA". It matches the Rfam family "Bacterial small subunit ribosomal RNA", at positions 101 to 820 of the family's 1533-position model. The record is from RNAcentral.
AACGGGUGCGUAAUGCGUAUGUAAUCUACCUUGUACAGGGAAAUAGCUUUUGGAAACAAGAAUUAAUAUCCCAUAUGUUGCUUUAUCGUCGGAUAGGGCAAUGAAAGCUCCGGCGGUGCAAGAUGAGCAUGCGUCCUAUUAGCUAGUUGGUAGGGUAAUAGCCUAUCAAGGCGAUGAUAGGUAGGGGUUCUGAGAGGAUGAUCCCCCACACUGGCACUGAGACACGGGCCAGACUCCUACGGGAGGCAGCAGUAGGGAAUAUUGGUCAAUGGGCGCAAGCCUGAACCAGCCACGCCGCGUGCAGGACGAAGGCCUAAAGGUCGUAAACUGCUUUUGUACGGGAUAAAUAAGUCUCUGCGGAGACCGAUGAUCGUACCGUAAGAAUAAGCACCGGCUAACUCCGUGCCAGCAGCCGCGGUAAGACGGGGGGUGCAAGCGUUAUCCGAAUUUACUGGGUUUAAAGGGUGCGUAGGCGGCCUAAUAAGUCAGUGGUAAAAGCUAACGGCUCAACCGUUAAAGUGCCAUUGAUACUGUUAGGCUCGAGUAUAGUUGAGGUGGGCGGAAUUCUACAUGUAGCGGUGAAAUGCUUAGAUAUGUAGAGGAACACCAAUAGCGAAGGCAGCUCACUAAACUAUUACUGACGCUGAGGCACGAAAGCGUGGGGUAGCAAACAGGAUUAGAUACCCUGGUAGUCCACGCCGUAAACGAUGAUCACUCGA